GGCAACCCGCUUGAGUCAGCUUCUGCAUUGUGGAAGGUUUGUUCUUUCUCUCUUUGCAGUAAAUCUUACUGCUGCUCACUUUUUGGGUCCACACUGCGUUUAUUAGCUGCAACGCUCACCGCUAUGGUCUGCAGCUUCACUCCUGAAGCCAGCGAGACCACGAACCCACCAGAAUGAAGAAACUCCGAACACAUCCAAACAUCAGAAGGAACAAACUCCGGACAGGCGGCCUUUAAGAACUGUAACACUCACCUCGAGGGUCUGCGGCUUCAUUCUUGAAGUCAGUGAGACCAAGAACCCACCAAUUCCGGACACAAUGUUACUCCAGAUAAUCAGCGCCAUUUUCUGAAGCUUGAGAUGCAGGAAAAGAGGAGUGCUAUCCAUUAGAUGGAGACAGGAAGUAGAAAAAGAGCUUAAAGUUUUGGCUUGUGUUACUUCCUUGGGGAGAUCUUGCUGGACCACAUCAGGAAUAGGAGGGGUGUGUCCCCACAGCACUGUGUACACGAUUGUUGCAAACCUCUCUCAUCCGAGGUGGCUUCCGCACCAUGGCCAGGGUGCUGACCCCUUAUUUCACUGCUACCAUUGGCCUGCUGUAUACCAGCACUUGGGCAAACAGCUGAUAGGAGUUCAUUUUGUGAAGCUGUCACGAGUUUUCCAGUAGACCAUGAGCUUGCUGAUGGCAGGAGCCUGCCUGUCCUUGAUCCUUGUUUCUGUGGGGUCUAUCCCAGUGCCUGGCACAGUGGCUUUGGAGAUGGAAGGAAUAGAGGGAGAGCAGAUCCUCAAACACAGCCUGCAUCUCUCCCUGCUCCCCUCCCACCCUCCAGUUUUCCAGCCAGAGGCAUUUGCUCUAAGGCCCAGGCUGUGGCCCACCUAUCACCGCUACCCAAGUAGUACAGGAAAAGGAAAUUUGAAGAGGAAAAGAGGCACCAGGGAUGAGGACACACCGAGAAAAGACCAUGUGAAGACAUGGCGAGAAGACAGCCAGCUGCAAGCCAAGGAGUGAGGCCUCAGAAGAAACCAACCCUGCCGACACCUUGACCUUGGACUUCUAGUCUCUAGAAUUAUGCGAAAAUAAAUUCCUGUUGUUUAAGCCA
Molecule: long non-coding RNA, 1094 nt
Filed under: Homo sapiens (human)
Lineage: Eukaryota; Metazoa; Chordata; Mammalia; Primates; Hominidae
Description: long independently transcribed non-coding RNA 2751, transcript variant 2 (LINC02751)
Source: RNAcentral